CGCUGGCGGCGUGCUAACACAUGCAAGUCGAACGUGAAAUGGGGCAACCCAAAGUAAAGUGGCGCACGGGUGAGUAAUACGUAGGUAAUCUCCCUCAAAGCUCGGAAUAACCUGCCGAAAGGCGGGCUAAUACCGAAUAGAGCGAAGAUGUUGUAAAGAUAUUUUCGGGAAAGGGAGCUCGCAAGAGCCCUCACUUUGAAAUGAGCCUACGUCCCAUUAGCUAGUUGGCAGGGUAAUGGCCUACCAAGGCGAUGAUGGGUAGCUGGUCUGAGAGGAUGAUCAGCCACACUGGAACUGAAACACGGUCCAGACUCCUACGGGAGGCAGCAGUGGGGAAUAUUGCGCAAUGGGCGAAAGCCUGACGCAGCGACGCCGCGUGAGUGAAGAAGGCCUGCGGGUUGUAAAGCUCUGUCGAGUGGGACGAACAACCGAUUUGUGAAUAGCAAGUCGGCCUGACGGUACCACUAAAGGAAGCACCGGCUAACUCUGUGCCAGCAGCCGCGGUAAUACAGAGGGUGCAAGCGUUGCUCGGAAUUAUUGGGCGUAAAGGGCA
RNAcentral lists this ribosomal RNA (553 nucleotides) under uncultured bacterium. RNAcentral describes it as "bacterial SSU rRNA". It matches the Rfam family "Bacterial small subunit ribosomal RNA", at positions 34 to 569 of the family's 1533-position model. The record is from RNAcentral.